UACAGAGGUCUCAAGCGUUGUUCGGAUUCAUUGGGCGUAAAGGGUGCGUAGGUGGCGCCAUAAGUCAGGUGUGAAAUCUCGGGGCUUAACUCCGAAACUGCAUUUGAUACUGUGGUGCUUGAGGACUGGAGAGGAGACUGGAAUUUACGGUGUAGCAGUGAAAUGCGUAGAGAUCGUAAGGAAGACCAGUGGCGAAGGCGGGUCUCUGGACAGUUCCUGACGCUGAGGCACGAAGGCCAGGGGAGCAAACGGG
This 253-nucleotide ribosomal RNA is filed under the name uncultured bacterium. RNAcentral describes it as "partial 16S ribosomal RNA". It matches the Rfam family "Bacterial small subunit ribosomal RNA", at positions 524 to 776 of the family's 1533-position model. The record is from RNAcentral.